GCAAACUUGGUCAUUUAGAGGAAGUAAAAGUCGUAACAAGGUCUCCGUUGGUGAACCAGCGGAGGGAUCAUUACAGAGUUAUAUAAAACUCCCAAACCCAUGUGAAAUAUACCUCUUUUGUUGCCUCGGCAGGUCGUGCCUACCCUGUACUUACCCUGUAAGCCUAUUCUGUAGGCUCGGGGAGGUUACCCUGUAGCACGAUAAAGGCCUGCCGGCGGCCCCUUAAACUCUUGUUAGCACAUUGGAAUUCUGAGUAUUAUAACUAAAUAAGUUAAAACUUUCAACAACGGAUCUCUUGGUUCUGGCAUCGAUGAAGAACGCAGC
This 324-nucleotide unclassified non-coding RNA is filed under the name uncultured fungus. RNAcentral's name for it is "partial contains small subunit ribosomal RNA, internal transcribed spacer 1, and 5.8S ribosomal RNA". The stretch from base 1 to 73 matches the Rfam family "Eukaryotic small subunit ribosomal RNA", at positions 1759 to 1831 of the family's 1831-position model. Lineage: Eukaryota; Fungi. The record is from RNAcentral.